RNAcentral lists this ribosomal RNA (660 nucleotides) under uncultured fungus. RNAcentral describes it as "eukaryotic LSU rRNA". It matches the Rfam family "Eukaryotic large subunit ribosomal RNA", at positions 24 to 664 of the family's 3401-position model. The record is from RNAcentral. Lineage: Eukaryota; Fungi.
CCCGCUGAACUUAAGCAUAUCAAUAAGCGGAGGAAAAGAAACUAACAAGGAUUCCCCUAGUAACUGCGAGUGAAGCGGGAAAAGCUCAAAUUUAAAAUCUGGCGGUCCUUGUGGCCGUCCGAGUUGUAAUUUAGAGAAGUGUUAUCCGCGCUGGACCGUGUACAAGUCUCCUGGAAUGGAGCGUCAUAGAGGGUGAGAAUCCCGUCUUUGACACGGACUGCCAGGGCAUUGUGAUACGCUCUCAAAGAGUCGAGUUGUUUGGGAAUGCAGCUCANAAUGCGUGGUAAAUUCCAUCUAAAGCUAAAUAUUGUGGAGAGACCGAUAGCGAACAAGUACCGUGAGGCACAGAUGAAAAGAACUUUGGAAAGAGAGGUAAACAGUACGUGGAAAUGCUGUAAGGGGAGCGCUUGCAGCCAGUCGCGUCGCUCAGGACUCAGCCUUGCUUUUGCUUGGUGUACUUCCUGUUCGAUGGGUCAGCAUCAAUUUUGGUCGGUGGAUAAAGGCUCAGAGAAUGUGGCAUCUUCGGGUGUGUUAUAGCUCUGGGUUGUAUACAUCGGCUGGGAUUGAGGAACUCAGCACGCCGCAAGGCCGGGUACUUGUACCACGUACGUGCUUAGGAUGCUGGCAUAAUGGCUUUAAUCGACCCGUCUUGAAACACGG